CCUACGGGAGGCAGCAGUGGGGGAUAUUGGACAAUGGGGGGAACCCUGAUCCAGCGACGCCGCGUGAGUGAAGAAGUAUCUCGGUAUGGAAAGCUCUAUCAGCAGGGGAACAGAAAUGACGGUACCUGAGCAAGAAGCCCCGGCUAACCACGUACCAGCAGCCGCGGUAAUACGUGGGGGGCCAGCGUUAUCCGGAAUUACUGGGUGUAAAGGGAGCGUAGGCGGUGAUGUAAGUCUGGAGUGAAAGGCGGGGGCCCAACCCCCGGACUGGCCUGGAAACUAGGUGACUGGAGUGCAGGAGAGGUGAGCGGAAUGCGUGGUGUAGCGGUGAAAUGCGUAGAUAUUAGGAGGAACACCAGUGGCGAAGGCGGCACACUGGAUUGUCACUGACGUUGAGGCUCGAAAGCGUGGGGAGCAAACAGGAUUAGAUACCCUGGUAGUC
RNAcentral lists this ribosomal RNA (442 nucleotides) under uncultured bacterium. RNAcentral describes it as "partial 16S ribosomal RNA". It matches the Rfam family "Bacterial small subunit ribosomal RNA", at positions 338 to 795 of the family's 1533-position model. The record is from RNAcentral.